RNAcentral lists this ribosomal RNA (502 nucleotides) under uncultured archaeon. Its description in RNAcentral is "bacterial SSU rRNA". It matches the Rfam family "Archaeal small subunit ribosomal RNA", at positions 21 to 526 of the family's 1478-position model. The record is from RNAcentral.
CGGCCAUUGCUAUCGGAGUCCGAUUUAGCCAUGCUAGUCGCACGGGCUUAGAACCCGGGCAUAUAGCUCAGUAACACGUGGCCAAACUACCUACAGACCCCGAUACCUCGGGAAACUGAGGCCAAUAGCGGAUAUAACUCUCAUGCUGGAGUGCCGAGAGUUAGAAACGUUCCGGCGCUGUAGGAUGUGGCUGCGGCCGAUUAGGUAGAUGGUGGGGUAACGGCCCACCAUGCCGAUAAUCGGUACGGGUUGUGAGAGCAAGAACCCGGAGACGGUAUCUGAGACAAGAUACCGGGCCCUACGGGGCGCAGCAGGCGCGAAACCUUUACACUGCACGACAGUGCGAUAGGGGGACUCCGAGUGUGAGGGCAUAUAGCCCUCGCUUUUCUGUACCGUAAGGUGGUACAGGAACAAGGACUGGGCAAGACCGGUGCCAGCCGCCGCGGUAAUACCGGCAGUCCAAGUGAUGGCCGAUAUUAUUGGGCCUAAAGCGUCCGUAGCU